CAAACGGCCCUUUUCAGGGCCACCAAAUAUCUCACGAAAGGGUUGU
This is a regulatory RNA element of Culex pipiens (northern house mosquito), 46 nucleotides long. It matches the Rfam family "Histone 3' UTR stem-loop". From Rfam's summary of the family: The mRNAs of metazoan histone genes lack a poly-A tail. 3' end processing occurs at a site between a highly conserved stem-loop (modelled by this family) and a purine rich region around 20 nts downstream (the histone downstream element, or HDE). The stem-loop is bound by a 31 kDa stem-loop binding protein (SLBP - also termed the histone hairpin binding protein, or HBP). NCBI's taxonomy places the organism in Eukaryota, Metazoa, Arthropoda, Insecta, Diptera, Culicidae. The record is from Rfam.